GGAGCGUUCUGUAAGCCUGCGAAGGUGUGCUGUGAGGCAUGCUGGAGGUAUCAGAAGUGCGAAUGCUGACAUAAGUAACGAUAAAGCGGGUGAAAAGCCCGCUCGCCGGAAGACCAAGGGUUCCUGUCCAACGUUAAUCGGGGCAGGGUGAGUCGACCCCUAAGGCGAGGCCGAAAGGCGUAGUCGAUGGGAAACAGGUUAAUAUUCCUGUACUUGGUGUUACUGCGAAGGGGGGACGGAGAAGGCUAUGUUGGCCGGGCGACGGUUGUCCCGGUUUAAGCGUGUAGGCUGGUUUUCCAGGCAAAUCCGGAAAAUCAAGGCUGAGGCGUGAUGACGAGGCACUACGGUGCUGAAGCAACAAAUGCCCUGCUUCCAGGAAAAGCCUCUAAGCAUCAGGUAACAUCAAAUCGUACCCCAAACCGACACAGGUGGUCAGGUAGAGAAUACCAAGGCGCUUGAGAGAACUCGGGUGAAGGAACUAGGCAAAAUGGUGCCGUAACUUCGGGAGAAGGCACGCUGAUAUGUAGGUGAAGUCCCUUGCGGAUGGAGCUGAAAUCAGUCGAAGAUACCAGCUGGCUGCAACUGUUUAUUAAAAACACAGCACUGUGCAAACACGAAAGUGGACGUAUACGGUGUGACGCCUGCCCGGUGCCGGAAGGUUAAUUGAUGGGGUCAGCGCAAGCGAAGCUCUUGAUCGAAGCCCCGGUAAACGGCGGCCGUAACUAUAACGGUCCUAAGGUAGCGAAAUUCCUUGUCGGGUAAGUUCCGACCUGCACGAAUGGCGUAAUGAUGGCCAGGCUGUCUCCACCCGAGACUCAGUGAAAUUGAACUCGCUGUGAAGAUGCAGUGUACCCGCGGCAAGACGGAAAGACCCCGUGAACCUUUACUAUAGCUUGACACUGAACAUUGAGCCUUGAUGUGUAGGAUAGGUGGGAGGCUUUGAAGUGUGGACGCCAGUCUGCAUGGAGCCGGCCUUGAAAUACCACCCUUUAAUGUUUGAUGUUCUAACGUGGACCCGUGAUCCGGGUUGCGGACAGUGUCUGGUGGGUAGUUUGACUGGGGCGGUCUCCUCCUAAAGAGUAACGGAGGAGCACGAAGGUUGGCUAAUCCUGGUCGGACAUCAGGAGGUUAGUGCAAUGGCAUAAGCCAGCUUGACUGCGAGCGUGACGGCGCGAGCAGGUGCGAAAGCAGGUCAUAGUGAUCCGGUGGUUCUGAAUGGAAGGGCCAUCGCUCAACGGAUAAAAGGUACUCCGGGGAUAACAGGCUGAUACCGCCCAAGAGUUCAUAUCGACGGCGGUGUUUGGCACCUCGAUGUCGGCUCAUCACAUCCUGGGGCUGAAGUAGGUCCCAAGGGUAUGGCUGUUCGCCAUUUAAAGUGGUACGCGAGCUGGGUUUAGAACGUCGUGAGACAGUUCGGUCCCUAUCUG
Molecule: ribosomal RNA, 1427 nt
Filed under: Shigella sonnei
Lineage: Bacteria; Pseudomonadati; Pseudomonadota; Gammaproteobacteria; Enterobacterales; Enterobacteriaceae
Description: partial 23S ribosomal RNA
Rfam family: Bacterial large subunit ribosomal RNA
Source: RNAcentral